AGCAGCCGCGGUAAUUCCAGCUCCAAUAGCGUAUAUUAAAGUUGUUGCAGUUAAAAAGCUCGUAGUUGAAUUUCGGGAUUGACGUGAUGGUCGUGCCUUAAGGGGUAUGAACUGUCGCUGUUGAUUUCUCACCUUCUGGAGAAACUUGAUGUCCUUAAUUGGGUGUCUUGCGGAUCCAGGACCUUUACCUUGAAAAAUUAGAGUGUUUAAAGCAGGCAUUUUUGCUCGAAUACAUUAGCAUGGAAUAAUAGAAUAGGACGGCAUGGUUCUAUUUUGUUGGUUUCUAGGAUCACCGUAAUGAUUAAUAGGGAUAGUUGGGGCAUUAGUAUUCAGUUGUCAGAGGUGAAAUUCUUGGAUUUAUUGAAGACUAACUACUGCGAAAGCAUUUGCCAAGGAUGUUUUACAUUAAUCAAGAACGAAAGUUAGGGGAUCGAAGACGAUCAGAUACCGUCGUAGU
Molecule: ribosomal RNA, 457 nt
Filed under: uncultured Entrophospora
Lineage: Eukaryota; Fungi; Glomeromycota; Glomeromycetes; Entrophosporales; Entrophosporaceae
Description: SSU rRNA
Rfam family: Eukaryotic small subunit ribosomal RNA
Source: RNAcentral